UACGUAGGGUGCAAGCGUUAAUCGGAAUUACUGGGCGUAAAGCGUGCGCAGGCGGUCGUGCAAGACAGAUGUGAAAUCCCCGGGCUUAACUUGGGAACUGCAUUUGUGACUGCACGGCUGGAGUGCGGCAGAGGGGGAUGGAAUUCCGCGUGUAGCAGUGAAAUGCGUAGAUAUGCGGAGGAACACCGAUGGCGAAGGCAAUCCCCUGGGCCUGCACUGACGCUCAUGCACGAAAGCGUGGGGAGCAAAC
RNAcentral lists this ribosomal RNA (250 nucleotides) under uncultured bacterium. RNAcentral describes it as "partial 16S ribosomal RNA". It matches the Rfam family "Bacterial small subunit ribosomal RNA", at positions 524 to 773 of the family's 1533-position model. The record is from RNAcentral.